Long non-coding RNA from Bombina bombina (fire-bellied toad), 1927 nucleotides. RefSeq lists it as uncharacterized. Lineage: Eukaryota; Metazoa; Chordata; Amphibia; Anura; Bombinatoridae. The transcript is spliced from 9 exons. The record is from RefSeq and is a predicted model, not a curated record.
UCUCAUAUUAUUUCACCAAUCAGGUAAAGGAAGCUUACUAUGAAAUCUCAUGAGAAAAAAGUCAAAUCUCAUGAGAUCACAGUAAAAGAGUUCAUGACCUCUGCACUGCUGAUGCUGAUUGGCUGUUGUUCAUUUCUUCAUUUUUUUAUUUUUUUUUACCUGCAGCUGGGAGCAGCUAAGUAUAACUUUUUACACAGAACUUAAUCUGCUGAGCUGAGGAGAUUGUGAGGUAAAAUAUCCUUUUUUACAUAGAUAAAAUAUCCUUUUUUACAUAGAGAUGCUCAGGUGAUAUUUUCCUGUCAGCUUUUUACAGGUAUACUGCAUCAGUUUCAAGUGAUUUAGCAUAUGAGUAUUAUGUCCCUUUAAUGAUGGUGCAGGCCUGCUAGGUAAUUUUUGUUGAUGCACUGGAGGGAUAGUAGAAAGGGGUGGCGUGGCUGCAUGGGGGAUUGCGGUGCCAGAACCACCUUGAGGCCCACCUAAAGAAUAAAGGCCUGAGUCCCCCACCUGAAAACCAUCAAAGUGACCGUCGAUAAGUGAUUGCACAUCACUAGUAGCAUGAAAAUGUGGCCCCUGAUUCAUACCCUGUGGAUUAGCCACCGAAGCAGCCAUUGCUGCAGCAAUGGAUGACAAGAAAUUAGAAACUGCAGAGGGUGGAACCGCAUUAAACAGUGAAUCCACAUGGCUAGCUAGUAAAAUUUGCUGGGGCAUUAAAGUUAAAUUGGGAGCUUGUUCAGUCUUCAUAGGUUGAGACAAUUGAGAAUCAUGAGCUAUCCCUGUAUCAGCUAUGUCUUGCUCUUCUAUUGUAUAAAUUUGGGCAGUAACUACAUUUGUGUACUGAGUGGGGGGUAUAAUAUCUAUAUCCUCCAUGUUAUCUGAUUGUACACUUAUCUUUUUGCUUUGUGUUGUGGGUCCUGAUGUUCCUUGAUCGUCCUGAUAGUGCCUAGGAGGAAGAAUGGAACGCCUGGAACGAUGCAUAGCUGCACUGCACAAUAUGGAAAACUGUCUCAGCCAGGAUCCGAUGGAGAAGAGGAAGUUGCUUGGGAGGAAUCAGCUUUUUACUGGAUUGCUCCCAGAAUACAGGCUCCGAAUUGCAGCGGCGGAUCACGUGGACAAGUUACAUCCUUAACAUUGAAGCAAGACUCCGAGAGGUGCUGUCCUUAGGGCGCAAGACCCUGAGAAGCCAACAGAAGCUUAUAUGUGGAUCGUAGCACAGAUGCAUAUCAAGGAUCGAUGUAACUUUUUGAAGGCUAUGGAACACAACAAAAAGAACAUAGAAAAGAAGCAGUUAGAGCAGUAUAUAAAAUGUCAUGAAGAACCUUCUUUGUCGGAUUUUCUGGAACCUUUGGCUGGAAAACAAACACAAGGGAACAUUGCGGACAUGGAGAAAAAGUGACAAGCACCCUACAGUUCCUUCACAUUCAAACUAAGCACAUAUUCGGAAGAAAAAAAAACAACCAAAGACCACCACCACCACAACAAAAGAAAGCUAAAACACUUCUCAAAGUGUCACUCUGUGUUUAAGUCCAGAAUAAACAGCUCACAGCGCUAUCGAACUUUGGAUAUAGUGGAUACCCAAUAUAGAGAUUUGCACAUAUCUGGAUAUAUAUUACUUCCUGUUGGGAAGGAGAAUAUCCCACAAGUAAUGGAUGAACCCGUGGACUGGAUACACCUUACAAGAGAAAGAAAUUUAUCAGCUGGCUUUUAUGGACAUGCUGUAUUAUAGCGGCGGAAUCCCCAAACGAACAUAACUUGCGACUGUACCUCUGUAAACUAUACAGGAACUGAGCACAUCCUUUCACAGUGGAGUGAUUAAUCAGGAGGUCCAGUCGUUCAUUCCUGAUGCCAAGACGAUGCAGGUCAGAGGUUAUUCCAUCUGAUUUAUUAAUUGGAGAUUACUAUGUCCUUGAUACUCUUGAAAAAUGAAACG